Molecule: ribosomal RNA, 466 nt
Filed under: uncultured bacterium
Lineage: Bacteria
Description: bacterial SSU rRNA
Rfam family: Bacterial small subunit ribosomal RNA
Source: RNAcentral
CUGGCGGCGUGCCUAACACAUGCAAGUCGAGCGAGGAGAGUCCUUCGGGAUGAUCCUAGCGGCGGACGGGUGAGUAACACGUGGGCAACCUGCCUCAUAGAGAGGAAUAGCCUUCCGAAAGGGAGAUUAAUACCUCAUAACAUUGCAGUUUCGCAUGGAACAGCAAUUAAAGGAGCAAUCCGCUAUGAGAUGGGCCCGCGGCGCAUUAGCUAGUUGGUGAGGUAACGGCUCACCAAGGCGACGAUGCGUAGCCGACCUGAGAGGGUGAUCGGCCACAUUGGGACUGAGACACGGCCCAGACUCCUACGGGAGGCAGCAGUGGGGAAUAUUGCACAAUGGGGGAAACCCUGAUGCAGCCAACGCCGCGUGAGUGAUGACGGCCUUCGGGUUGUAAAGCUCUGUCUUCAGGGACGAUAAUGACGGUACCUGAGGAGGAAGCCACGGCUAACUACGUGCCAGCAGCAGC